This is a long non-coding RNA of Cryptotermes secundus, 422 nucleotides long. RefSeq lists it as uncharacterized. The record is from RefSeq and is a predicted model, not a curated record. The transcript has 3 exons. Lineage: Eukaryota; Metazoa; Arthropoda; Insecta; Blattodea; Kalotermitidae.
UCGAGCUUCGUGUGUAGGCUAGCAUGUUCUGACGUGAUGUAGCUUAUAGACAGUGACAUUUAAGAUGGCAGUGAGGUUCAGAAAGUGUGAAGUUGCUUACUGCAAGGGGGUACAGACACAGAAAAGCGCAAGAUGGAGGUUGGUGCGAUUCAAAAAACGGCAAAUGUCUGGCCCUUAAACCAACUCCUGGAAUUUGACUUCUUGUGGAGGUACAUCUCUAUGCUUUCCUAACUUUCGACACUGGAUGCAGUUGAGAAAAUUUAAUAAGACUGUGUUGGAGGCGAAGCUGUGAUUGGUUAAAAAAAUGGAGCGAGAUGCUAACCAGUAGGGAGUGAUCACGUGAUGAAGAAGAACGUUCUAGAGACAGGUCAUUUCUCUGGAAGGGUGAGGAACACGUGACAGCGUCACCAUAUACAGGACAA